Molecule: long non-coding RNA, 518 nt
Filed under: Mus pahari (shrew mouse)
Lineage: Eukaryota; Metazoa; Chordata; Mammalia; Rodentia; Muridae
Description: CHD2 adjacent suppressive regulatory RNA (MGP_PahariEiJ_G0011979.1)
Source: RNAcentral
GCGCGGGCGGGAGGGGCGGCGGGUUGGCUGCGGGCUCUGCACACGCAGCCCCGGGCACUGCCGCGGAGGGCCGAUGCCACCGGAACACGGGGUCGGGCCACCGCGUUCCCGCUGCAUACUCAGCCGGGCGCCGCGCUGCGGUCCGAGCCAGCGGGGAGAGGGCGGCGGCCGUGCCGUGGAACCCCUGCUUACUGUGGUAACUUACAAGAUGAUAAUUCAUGUGGUUGCCGAUGAUUCUGAGUAUACACAGCUUUUAUCCCAGGUGUGCCAUUUUGAAGACUGAGACUAUAGAGUUUUAAGAAUAAAGGAGAGAGCCCUUGGGAAAUUCUGUAUUGUAUAUAGCAAGAAUGUGAAUCCUUAAAUGGAAUGAAAAGCCUAUACCAUAGACAUCGAAGCCUUUACACCCCGCUUGAAGAGUUUGAAAUGGACUUUACCACAGAAAUCAAGAUGGCAGCCCAUUAUGGGGAAUUGAGGAAAAUGGAUUAAUGCAAGAAUGCUGUAAUAUUACACAACCAACA